GCAACCGGUUGACGGUCGCUAUGGUUUACCAUAGAGGAAAGUCCAGACACCGUAGAGUAGGAUGUCCUUUCGUAAAGUAGGAUACUGUGUCCCAUAAAGUCACAGGAAGGAAAGUGCCACAGAAAUUAAACCGCCUUGCUUGCAAGGUAAGGGUGAAAUGGUGAAGUAAGAGCUCACCGUGCUUUUAGCGAAAGCGGAGCAGCAUGGCAAACCCCGUCCGGUGCAAGAUCAAAUAGGGAACAAAGAUGCUACUCGUAUCGUUUUUCUUUGGAAAUAUAGUUCCGGGUUCUGAUCGCAUAGUCAAAUGACCGUCCAUUUGCGUUUUUCGCAAAAGACAGGAUCUGGCUUACAGCCGGUUGCAAUU
RNAcentral lists this RNase P RNA (364 nucleotides) under Lentisphaera profundi. Its description in RNAcentral is "RNase P RNA component class A". It matches the Rfam family "Bacterial RNase P class A". From Rfam's summary of the family: Ribonuclease P (RNase P) is a ubiquitous endoribonuclease, found in archaea, bacteria and eukarya as well as chloroplasts and mitochondria. Its best characterised activity is the generation of mature 5'-ends of tRNAs by cleaving the 5'-leader elements of precursor-tRNAs. The record is from RNAcentral. Lineage: Bacteria; Pseudomonadati; Lentisphaerota; Lentisphaeria; Lentisphaerales; Lentisphaeraceae.